Molecule: ribosomal RNA, 253 nt
Filed under: uncultured bacterium
Lineage: Bacteria
Description: partial 16S ribosomal RNA
Rfam family: Bacterial small subunit ribosomal RNA
Source: RNAcentral
UCCGUAGGGUGCAAUCGUUGUCCGGAUUUAUUGGGUUUAAAGGGUGCGUAGGUGGCUGAUUAAGUCAUGGGUGAAAGCCCGCAGCUCAACUGUGGAAUUGCCUGUGAUACUGAUUAGCUUGAGUGCGGUUGAGGCAGCUGGAAUUGGUGGUGUAGCGGUGAAAUGCAUAGAUACCACCAGGAACACCGAUUGCGAAGGCAGGUUGCUAAGCCGUAACUGACACUGAGGCACGAAAGCGUGGGGAGAAAACAGG